CCAGACGGGCUUUGCAUGCUUGAAGCACGCACGAAAGCUCAAUUUGAAAUCUGGCGUCUUUGGCGUCCCAUUAAAAAUUUGAAGAAGGUAUCUUUGGGCCCGGCUCUUGUCUAUGUUCCUUGGAACAGGACGUCACAGAGGGUGAGAAUCCCGUGCGAUGAGAUGACCCGGAUCUGUGUAAAGUUCCUUCGACGAGUCGAGUUGUUUGGAAAUGCAGCUCUAAGU
RNAcentral lists this ribosomal RNA (225 nucleotides) under Candida albicans. RNAcentral's name for it is "partial 26S ribosomal RNA". The stretch from base 34 to 225 matches the Rfam family "Eukaryotic large subunit ribosomal RNA", at positions 104 to 293 of the family's 3401-position model. The record is from RNAcentral. Lineage: Eukaryota; Fungi; Ascomycota; Pichiomycetes; Serinales; Debaryomycetaceae.